Long non-coding RNA from Vidua chalybeata, 341 nucleotides. RefSeq lists it as uncharacterized. The transcript is spliced from 4 exons. The record is from RefSeq and is a predicted model, not a curated record. NCBI's taxonomy places the organism in Eukaryota, Metazoa, Chordata, Aves, Passeriformes, Viduidae.
CAGCAGCGACACCCGCAUCCUCGGCGGGGACGGCGGCGGCGGAGCGCGGGGUGCGAGCCCGCCCGGCCCCGGGGCAGGAGGCGGGAAGGGGCAGAGUUGGUCCAAGCCUGGAGUUUCCAAGCAGCAACAGUCUCACUUAUGACAAGAAAGAGGUCCAUGGCAGCAGCAAGCGCCAAUUGGUAAUAACCAGCUGCAUCAAAGGGGUCCUGAAAUAAGAGGCUCAAAGAUAGUACAACCAGUGCAAGAGGACUGCAGAGCUCAGGUUUACUUCCUCUUUGGCUUAGCAGUGAGCUUCCCAGGAAAUGAGCAUGCAAAAUAACUCCAGGUGUCUAGAAGCUGAA